UACGUAGGGGGCAAGCGUUGUCCGGAUUUAUUGGGCGUAAAGAGCGUGUAGGCGGCCAUACAGGUCAGCUGUGAAAACUCGAGGCUCAACCUCGAGACGUCGGUUGAAACCGUAUGGCUAGAGUCCGGAAGAGGAGAGUGGAAUUCCCGGUGUAGCGGUGAAAUGCGCAGAUAUCGGUAGGAACACCAGUGGCGAAGGCGGUCUCCUGGGGCAUUCUUGACGCUGAGGCGCGAAAGCUGGGGGAGCGAACGGG
RNAcentral lists this ribosomal RNA (253 nucleotides) under uncultured bacterium. RNAcentral describes it as "partial 16S ribosomal RNA". It matches the Rfam family "Bacterial small subunit ribosomal RNA", at positions 524 to 776 of the family's 1533-position model. The record is from RNAcentral.